CGUAGGCAGCAAGCGUUGUUCGGAAUUACUGGGCGUAAAGGGUGCGUAGGCGGCUUUUAAGUUUGGUGUGAAAUCUCCCGGCUCAACCGGGAGGGUGCGCCGAAUACUGAGAAGCUAGAGUGUGGGAGAGGAAAGUGGAAUUCCUGGUGUAGCGGUGAAAUGCGUAGAUAUCAGGAGGAACACCGGUGGUGUAAACGGCUUUCUGGACCAUAACUGACGCUGAUGCACGAAAGCGUGGGUAGCAAACAGGAUUAGAUACCCUGGUAGUCCACGCCCUAAACGAUGCAUAUUUGGUGUGGGCCAUUCAUUUGGUCCGUGCCGGAGCUAACGCGUUAAAUAUGCCGCCUGGGGAGUACAGUCGCAAGGCUG
Molecule: ribosomal RNA, 369 nt
Filed under: uncultured organism
Description: bacterial SSU rRNA
Rfam family: Bacterial small subunit ribosomal RNA
Source: RNAcentral